CGAAUUAUCUAUUUUUGAAUGUUGAUUCAAAACUAAACGACAAAUUAAUAACUUUAUUUUAAAUUGUAAUGUAGUAGAGAUACUAUUGAGUGUUACCCACUCGUACAAAAUAUUAAUAUUCAUCUUUGUUGGUUGGUUUAAUAGAGCCGCUUAUAAAUGAAAUAAAAGUUUGAAAAAAAUUGUGACAUACCAAAUGCACUUAUGUUAAAGAAUUUUUUAAAUCUUCAAGAUAUUAGAAAAUCAGCCCCAACUAGUUCCCUUUUUAUUAACACCAAAACUGGGAACAAACUGUUUUUCAAGUUUCUACAUAAUUCAUACAUGCCCAUAACGAUCGGACUAGACUUUAAAAUAAGAAGGAAAUCCUUCAACCUGCUGCAUCCGCGUUUCUAUCGUCUCGCGAGCGUAUCUCUCCCUUAUAAGUCAAAUAACACAUGGCAAGCCAUUGUCUGGCAUACCUUUUCGAGCUUGAAUUCACAGUAUGCUUGCAUUUACGGAAAUAAUAUUGGAGAAAUGAGAGCAAGAAGAAAGAAAGGCAAAGAACAGAAGAAUUUACAAUUACAAACCAUGCGACGAGAUCGCCGGACGCUUUGUCGUUGUUGUUUCGUGGAAAUCAUUCUCCAAGUCUCGAGCCUCGAAUGCUGUAUCUUCGGUGACUGAAAAAGAGAUGAAAGCGUGAUCAAAGUGGAAGUAAUUUGAUCCGCGAUCAGAUUCUCAGGUUUAGGACAAGGAUUACUGUUUCCGGUUCUUGUAAGACUGCGAAAUAUUGAUACUAAAGACGUAAUGUACGUUUACGAUGUGCAGCAUUUCGUUUGACGCUAUUACAUACCGUUGCGUACUGUUUGAAAAGAAAUUUGAUCCCGUAAUAAAUUUAUUCAAUGAUCGCCUCUUUCUGCCUUAUAGAGCAAGUGGCAGUGCCUUUAUUACGAUGGUUUAGUUCUAUCUGUAGUUUAUGAUUAAAGUUAAUGGAAACAAUAUAAUACUUUGAUAUUCUAUUAUAGUAAGAAUGGAUGUAGUAAAUUAAUAAAAAUGGUUUGAAAUUA
Molecule: long non-coding RNA, 1040 nt
Organism: Bombus terrestris (buff-tailed bumblebee)
Lineage: Eukaryota; Metazoa; Arthropoda; Insecta; Hymenoptera; Apidae
Exons: 2
Source: RefSeq, a predicted model, not a curated record